RNAcentral lists this long non-coding RNA (424 nucleotides) under Helianthus annuus (common sunflower). RNAcentral's name for it is "sRNA HanXRQr2_Chr06g0252511". Lineage: Eukaryota; Viridiplantae; Streptophyta; Magnoliopsida; Asterales; Asteraceae. The record is from RNAcentral.
UCGUUCAUUGUGAGAAUUUGAUCUCGUGAGUUAUCGUAAAAGCUGUAUUGAUCAUUAACCCGGUUUUUGUGAAAUUCGUUAAGGUUCGAAUCUCAUGACUACCGUUAAGGUUUGAUUUGGGUUUUACACCAAUACGUAUUCUAUUCUGUUAAACCACCAAAAACACUCCCAACUACACCCUUACAAUCAAACAAACUAUUAAAUCAUCAGAAGAUCCAGAAUAAUAAAGUACAUGCUUAACUAUCGGGAAAAGUAGAAUCAAGAAGUUUGUUAACUCAAUCCUGCAUGAUGAUUAGUAAUUACAAUAGAUUGGAGUAAGGAUUGGAUCCGACACUGAAGGACUUCAAGAAGUGGCUUAUUUUCAAAUUAAGAAAUAUUGUUUUUAUUAAAAGCUACCUUUGUAAAACUUGGAAUUAAUUCCAUC